Non-coding RNA from Pelobates cultripes (western spadefoot toad), 219 nucleotides. NCBI's taxonomy places the organism in Eukaryota, Metazoa, Chordata, Amphibia, Anura, Pelobatidae. The record is from the annotation of a GenBank genome assembly.
GGAAAUCUAUGCGCUAAAGCAACACAUUAACGAUAUUCAUCAGGUGAUAAAACAGCAAAGAACACUUCUCCAAGACGUGUUAACUAUUGUGCAAGACAAAGUUGUUACAACAAAUUUGCAUUCGGAGUUAAUUGCCAAAUCCACUGAGUUGCACCAAAGUCAUUGUCACGAACACACCUUACUCCAAUAGUGUGUGUGACGUAGUUGUGGUGGUGAAAG